AUGAACGCUGGCGGCGUGCCUAAUCCAUGCAAGUCGAGCGAACAGACGAGGAGCUUGCUCCUCUGACGUUAGCGGCGGACGGGUGAGUAACACGUGGAUAACCUACCUAUAAGACUGGGAUAACUUCGGGAAACCGGAGCUAAUACCGGAUAAUAUAUUGAACCGCAUGGUUCAAUAGUGAAAGACGGUUUUGCUGUCACUUAUAGAUGGAUCCGCGCCGCAUUAGCUAGUUGGUAAGGUAACGGCUUACCAAGGCAACGAUGCGUAGCCGACCUGAGAGGGUGAUCGGCCACACUGGAACUGAGACACGGUCCAGACUCCUACGGGAGGCAGCAGUAGGGAAUCUUCCGCAAUGGGCGAAAGCCUGACGGAGCAACGCCGCGUGAGUGAUGAAGGUCUUCGGAUCGUAAAACUCUGUUAUUAGAGAAGAACAAAUGUGUAAGUAACUAUGCACGUCUUGACGGUACCUAAUCAGAAAGCCACGGCUAACUACGUG
This 496-nucleotide ribosomal RNA is filed under the name uncultured bacterium. RNAcentral describes it as "partial 16S ribosomal RNA". It matches the Rfam family "Bacterial small subunit ribosomal RNA", at positions 29 to 507 of the family's 1533-position model. The record is from RNAcentral.